UACAGAGGGUGCAAGCGUUGUUCGGAAUUACUGGGCGUAAAGCGCGUGUAGGCGGCUUGGCAAGUCCUGUGUGAAAGUCCUGGGCUCAACCCAGGAAGUGCGCAGGAUACUGCCGAGCUGGAGUAGCGGAGAGGAUGGCGGAAUACCCGGUGUAGAGGUGAAAUGCGUAGAUAUCGGGAGGAACACCAGUGGCGAAGGCGACUUCCUGGCCUGUUCUUGACGCUGAGGCGCGAAAGCUAGGGGAGCAAACGGG
RNAcentral lists this ribosomal RNA (253 nucleotides) under uncultured bacterium. Its description in RNAcentral is "partial 16S ribosomal RNA". It matches the Rfam family "Bacterial small subunit ribosomal RNA", at positions 524 to 776 of the family's 1533-position model. The record is from RNAcentral.